AUUCAGUGGCCCUUUCUCUUUCUGGGCUCUGGACCAGCUCUUUCCUCCCUCAGUCCCUCCCCCUAUCUUUCUCUGUUGCAGGCAUUGACACUCACAGCACGCAGAGUGCUGGCAGCCAAGUGCUUAUUAUUUAUUCAUUGGAAGUACAUCAGCUGGUCCCUCCUCCAUCUGCCUGGAGGAAGCAGGUCAAGAGGUGCCAAUUAAUGCCCUAUAUAUCCCAGGGGUGGAUUCACUGGCCACAGAGAUGCCCACUUGCAGAAAGCAGAAAGAGAACUUUCUUUUUUAGAUAGAAGAGUGGCCCUGAAAUAUCCAUAGAUGAAUGCAACAGAGAUUUGCUGACGAGAGGAUAAGAUGUAACAAUGGAAAUGGAGGAAAAUAUAGAAAUAUGACAACAGAAGCAGGGACCACAAACCAAGAUUCCAGUCUAAAGGCUGCACCUCCUACGAGACUGCCACCCACUCUCCACCUACUGAAGAUGCCAGUGGCAAGCCCAAGCAACCAACUACAGACUGGAGCUUUCACAGGCUUGUUUAAUCUGCUGGAGUGAACUUUAGAUGCGAGUCACAAGUCCAGAUUGUUACCUAUGCUUCUCAUCAACUGGCUAUAAACUGGAAGUUGCCACAACCCUGUUUUUGAGUUCUAUUAGUUUGGUAGGGCAGUUCAUGCAUGUGUGCGUGCUAAGUUGCUUCAGUUAUAUCUGACUCUUUGUGACCCCAAGGACUGUAGCCC
Odocoileus virginianus texanus is the source of this 729-nucleotide long non-coding RNA. RefSeq lists it as uncharacterized. Lineage: Eukaryota; Metazoa; Chordata; Mammalia; Artiodactyla; Cervidae. The record is from RefSeq and is a predicted model, not a curated record.